This is a long non-coding RNA of Carya illinoinensis, 2832 nucleotides long. RefSeq lists it as uncharacterized. NCBI's taxonomy places the organism in Eukaryota, Viridiplantae, Streptophyta, Magnoliopsida, Fagales, Juglandaceae. The transcript has 4 exons. The record is from RefSeq and is a predicted model, not a curated record.
UUUCGUUUCCAAUUUUACGCCUACUUUUAUUCCAAUUUUAUACUAUCAUCGGAUUUAUCCACCUUAUCAGAUCUCUCUUUACCUCUCUCUCGGUUUUGGCCAUUCAUUCAGACGAAUCUUGAUGGUGAGGUGCCGAAGAAAAAUUUCCAUUAUCUUGGUUCAUUUUGUUCGUUGCUCUUCGCGGUGUUGUGUGGGUAUGCUCUUCUUAGGUAUUGAAUCAACAGGAGGCUAGGGUUUUGGAUUUUUGGUUUUGGCCAUCGAUUAGAGGAAUGCGGUCCCACCGGGCUUUAGCCCGACAUCGUUCCUCGAGUCCCCGUGCUUCUCUCCAACAUGAAGGUUAGAUUCGGUUCGGUCUCUUUUUCCUUUUUGAGUAAUUAAUUCUGUUUAGCUGCCGAGAAAAAAAAAGGUCAGAAAGUGAUGGGUGCCCCAGCAGCUGGAGUGGAAAUUCUCGCAGGUUUUUGGUGAACGGGCAGCCGGGGAAGAAGUUCAGGAAGGUGUAUUUUGUUAAUGAAACUGUUAAGAAUCUGAAGGCAGAAGUGGCUAGAGUUUCAAAGAUCAAGUGUAGCAAAUGUGGACAGAAAGGGAGCAGCCCUGGGCUGCUAUGCGAAAUCCUAUCGGAAAAGCUAUCGUGUUCCCUGUGCAGUGGAAAUGUCAGAUUGUCUCUGGGAUCAUGUUCUUGUGCUCAAGUUUGCAAGCAUGUGUGGUGCAACUGUCACCAAGUUUUGGAAAUCAAAUGUCACACACGUGAUUGCGACCACAGAUGCACAGGAUGCAUGUACCAGGACCCUUAAAGUUCUCAUGGCCAUUUUGAAUGGGAGAUGGAUCCUUAAAAUUGGCUGUAAGUUGCCCUUAAUGUUGUUUUUUGUUGUGCUAAUUAGCUCUUUGACUUUCUUGUAUAAGACCAGUCGCAGGUCCAGAAACUCAUCUUUGUGGGACCAAAAUAUGAUAAUAAAAAGUUUUUAAGAUAUAAGCAAUAUUUUCAAUAAGUUUUUAUUAACUUAAGGAUAUAUGAUACAUGUCUAUGUAAUGAAAGAUAAAAAAUUACUGAUAAUUAAAAACUUAGUAUAUUUAGUGUUUUCUUUUCAAGUUGUGGAUGUGGAGGAGAGAACACUAAUAAAAGAAAGAACAAAAUGUUGAACGAAAUUCAAGAGAAAAUAGAGAAAAGCCACAUAGAAAAAAGAAAGUGGAAGAGAAAAUUAGAAAUUUAAAGGAGACUGGAGUGAAUAGGAAAAUGCUACAUGCCAUGGGUUCUUUCUAUAAAUAAAAAGAUAUUUUUUGGAUUUUUAAAAUUUUAAGGGCCAAACUUAUAGGUUUUCAAAAAAAUUAAAGCAUUUUACAAAAACUGGGCUACAUUUUGAAUUUUAGCAGAAACUUAAUAGAUUUUUUUAAGGGUUAAUUUAGAUAUUUUGAGAGUUAUAAGGAUUAUUUAUAGAAAAAUUCUUCUUGCAACCGGCUGGAGAAACCCCCAAGUAACCGUGUCCACUUGGGAAAAUAAAACUGUGCGUUUCAUAUACAGUGUUCCAUCAUAUUUUUCCUCUCUCAACUGCUCCUUUCGUCUUCCCAACGAAGAACGCCAAUUACCUUGAUCAAGAUUAAUAACCAGGAGAUGAAGAAACUCCAUUAUAAAAAACAAAAAAAAACUAGAACUGCCAAAGACAAUAGAAAGAGGCAUUGGACUCACCUAAAACUGAUGCAAAGAUGCAGAAGAAUCUCAAAAGAGAUUAUAAACAACAGAUCCAACCAAUUAAUCUUCCAAAUACAGCUCUAUUUUUAUUUCCCCCCUCAAGCUCCUAACAAGAAAUAAGUCCUCCAUUAAAUGGGUAUACGCCUAGACCCCCAGCAUUUUUGGUUCAAUCUUAGCUGGGGGGUAAUUUCUUCUCAGUUUGUCAUUUCUUUUGGUAAAUUUCUUUUGCUUUCUCAUUCUUGAACAUUUUUUUUGUUUUUUAUUUUUUGGAACAUGUUUCUGUGCCAUUUUCCUGUUAUUUCCAAUUUUUCAGUCACUCGAAAGCACUAGUUUGUGCCUUUUUCAGUCACUCAAAAGCACUAAUUUGGGUAUUUUUCAGUCACUCAAAAUGCUCUGUAAAAAUAGAUUUGGGCAUUUUUACACUUGAAAUGCUCUAUAGAAAUGGGUUUGGCCACAAAAAUAGAGACUUCUCAGUUUCUUCGUUCUUCUUUCUUCCUUAUACGUUUUACUAGGUCUCUUUUGUUUCUUUCACUCUAUUUUCAGUCACUGGGUGAAGUGCUGUUGGGUUUAGCCCGCUUUCUUCUUUUCUCCGUUUUCAUUUCAUUAUUUUUGGUCAAAUGAUGACGUGACAACUUACCACAUCAUCCGGUUAUAUGGCAGUUCCGCAAGUCGGUUGCUUGUAUGGAAUCAAUGCACCUCGUGGAUGAAGAACCUUAAGAAGUUGACUUUGACAACCAUGGGAGUUGCAAUGGCCCCAAAACUGGCAGGCUUAUGGGCUUCGAUAAUGCAAGUCCAAUUCUUUGAUGCAUGGCAGACAUGAACAAUGGGAAUAUAUGGAUUAUGCUGUUCGAACUUUUAUGAGCAUCUUAGUUCAACUGGACUUGUCUUAAAACUAGAAUGUCUGGAAGAAAAUUAACAGACCAUUCUCUCGUAAUAACUUAAAUAAGUCACGAGAAAUUGGGUGGCCAUCUUGUUGAGUCCUGGCUAUUUGUUCUCAAUAUAGGAAUUUCCCUGAAAUAUUUUGGCUGAAUGUUAUGGACAAUAAGAAGGCUGGUAAACUAUCUUGGUAUCGUAUCAAACAUCUUGGGAUCAAAACCUGCUUUCAGGUGGGAUGGGGUGAUUUAUGCGGGACUUUACAUGUUGAGUUA